AGCUUGCUAAUAAUUCUCUAGUGGCGCACGGGUGAGUAACACGUGAGUACCUGCCCCCAAGAGUGGGAUAGCCCCGGGAAACUGGGAUUAAUACCGCAUAAAGCAAUAAAGCAGCAAUGCGCUUGGGGAUGGGCUCGCGUCCUAUUAGUUAGUUGGUGAGGUAACGGCUCACCAAGGCGAUGACGGGUAGCCGGUCUGAGAGGAUGUCCGGCCACACUGGAACUGAGACACGGUCCAGACACCUACGGGUGGCAGCAGUCGAGAAUCAUUCACAAUGGGGGAAACCCUGAUGGUGCGACGCCGCGUGGGGGAUAAGGUCUUCGGAUUGUAAACCCCUGUCAUGUGGGACAUUAAAAGAUAGUACCACAAGAGGAAGAGACGGCUAACUCUGUGCCAGCAGCCGCGGUAAUACAGAGGUCUCAAGCGUUGUUCGGAAUCACUGGGCGUAAAGCGUGCGUAGGCGGUUUCGUAAGUCGUGUGUGAAAGGCGGGGGCUCAACCCCCGGACUGCACAUGAUACUGCGAGACUAGAGUAAUGGAGGGGGAACCGGAAUUCUCGGUGUAGCAGUGAAAUGCGUAGAUAUCGAGAGGAACACUCGUGGCGAAGGCGGGUUCCUGGACAUUAACUGACGCUGAGGCACGAAGGCCAGGGGAGCGAAAGGGAUUAGAUACCCCUGUAGUCC
Molecule: ribosomal RNA, 682 nt
Filed under: uncultured bacterium
Lineage: Bacteria
Description: bacterial SSU rRNA
Rfam family: Bacterial small subunit ribosomal RNA
Source: RNAcentral